ACGUAGGGACCAAGCGUUGUUCGGAUUUACUGGGCGUAAAGGGCGCGUAGGCGGCUUGACAAGUCACUUGUGAAAUCUCCGGGCUUAACUCGGAACGGCCAAGUGAAGCUGUCAUGCUAGAGUGCAGAAGGGGCAAUCGGAAUUCUUGGUGUAGCGGUGAAAUGCGUAGAUAUCAAGAGGAACACCUGAGGUGAAGACGGGUUGCUGGGCUGACACUGACGCUGAGGCGCGAAAGCCAGGGGAGCAAACGGGAUUAGAUACCCCGGUAGUCCUGGCCCUAAACGAUGAAUACUUGGUGUCUGGAGUUAUUAUUGCUCUGGGUGCCGUCGCUAACGUUUUAAGUAUUCCGCCUGGGGAGUACGCACGCAAGUGUG
This 374-nucleotide ribosomal RNA is filed under the name uncultured bacterium. RNAcentral describes it as "bacterial SSU rRNA". It matches the Rfam family "Bacterial small subunit ribosomal RNA", at positions 525 to 896 of the family's 1533-position model. The record is from RNAcentral.